CAAGGAAUUUUCCACAAUGGGCGCAAGCCUGAUGGAGCAACGCCGCGUGGGGGAUGACGCAUUUCGGUGUGUAAACCCCUUUUCGAGGGGACGAAGGCAAUGACGGUACCCUCGGAAGAAGGCCCGGCUAACUACGUGCCAGCAGCCGCGGUAAGACGUAGGGGCCGAGCGUUGUCCGGAAUUACUGGGCGUAAAGCGCGCGCAGGCGGAUUGUCGCAUCAUCGGUGAAAGCCCCCCGCUCAACGGGGGAGGGUCCGGUGCGAUGGGCAGUCUGGAGGCAGGGAGAGGCGAGUGGAAUUCCGGGUGUAGUGGUGAAAUGCGUAGAGAUCCGGAGGAACACCAGUGGCGAAGGCGGCUCGCUGGACCUGACCUGACGCUGAGGCGCGAAGGCGUGGGGAGCGAACGGGAUUAGAUACCCCGGUAGUCCACGCAGUAAACGAUGGACACUAGGUGUGGCGGGAGUUGACCCCUGCCGUGCCGGCGUCAACACAGUAAGUGUCCCGCCUGGGGAGUACGGCCGCAAGGCU
Molecule: ribosomal RNA, 527 nt
Filed under: uncultured bacterium
Lineage: Bacteria
Description: bacterial SSU rRNA
Rfam family: Bacterial small subunit ribosomal RNA
Source: RNAcentral